UCGCCUGUUUAUCAAAAACAUGGUUUCUUGUUUAGUAUUUAAGAAAUCUGGCCUGCCCCUGAAAAGUUUUAAAGGGCCGCAGUAUAUUGACUGUGCGAAGGUAGCAUAAUAAUUAGUCUUUUAAUUAAAGGCUUGUAUGAAUGGUUAAAUGAAGUGAAUACUGUUUUAUAUUAUAUUUUUGAAUUUAGAUUUUAAGUAAAAAUACUUAAAUUAUAUUAAGGGACGAGAAGACCCUAUAGAGUUUAAUAAAUGUAAUUUUAUAUUGAGUUAAUAAUUAUUUUUUUUUGAUUUUUUAUGAAAUUUAUUUAAUUGGGGUGAUUAAAAGAUAUAAUAAACUCUUUUUUAUAUUUAAUAUUUAUAAAUAGUAAUGAGAUCCAUUUUUUGUGAUUUAAAGAUUAAAUUACCUUAGGGAUAACAGCAUAAUUUUCUUUAAGAGYUCAUAUCGAAAGGAAAGGUUAU
Molecule: ribosomal RNA, 459 nt
Filed under: Gongylus gongylodes
Lineage: Eukaryota; Metazoa; Arthropoda; Insecta; Mantodea; Empusidae
Description: partial 16S ribosomal RNA
Rfam family: Archaeal large subunit ribosomal RNA (bases 1-164)
Source: RNAcentral